UUCAGAUUCUACCUCACAUUCUCAAUUCACAUGUACAAAUUUGUUAGUGUCUCACAUUUGAGUGAUAUUUUUUAAUUCAUUGAGAUUACAGUGGGAAUGGGAAUAAACGUCAUGUCGUAAAGUACGCGUGCAUUGCAGGGGGGAUUUUUUCAACGACAUCAAAAUUGUGGAGUCGUCUGCAAAAUUUAGACCUAAAACGACACUUGAUGUAUUAUUUUUCCCUUUAAAUAUUUAAAACAAAAUCAUUAAUUCUAAAGAAAAACGAUGUUCCUAAGUUCUGUACCCCAUGCAGUUUAAAUAGGUGAAGUCAAUGGUCAAAGAUAUGUGAUUUUAGGAAGAAAAAAGAAAUGGUGUGUUAGGUUUAGGGAUCUUUGAAAUGCCAUUUAGAAAAUUAAAUAAAAACAUCUUUUUUUCUUUUUUUAUUAAAUAAUAUAGGGAGUCGUCUAUUCUCAA
This is a long non-coding RNA of Cucumis sativus (cucumber), 453 nucleotides long. RefSeq lists it as uncharacterized. The record is from RefSeq and is a predicted model, not a curated record. The transcript has 2 exons. Lineage: Eukaryota; Viridiplantae; Streptophyta; Magnoliopsida; Cucurbitales; Cucurbitaceae.